GGCCGGCUAGCUCAGUUGGUUAGAGCGUGGUGCUAAUAAGGAAUUCCCAUUCUUCACGCCAAGGUCUUGGGUUCGACCCCCAAGUUGGCCA
This is a non-coding RNA of Lentinula aciculospora, 91 nucleotides long. The record is from the annotation of a GenBank genome assembly. NCBI's taxonomy places the organism in Eukaryota, Fungi, Basidiomycota, Agaricomycetes, Agaricales, Omphalotaceae.